RNAcentral lists this transfer RNA (76 nucleotides) under Acidimicrobiia bacterium. RNAcentral describes it as "tRNA-Lys". It matches the Rfam family "tRNA". Rfam says of the family: Transfer RNA (tRNA) molecules are approximately 80 nucleotides in length. Their secondary structure includes four short double-helical elements and three loops (D, anti-codon, and T loops). The record is from RNAcentral. Lineage: Bacteria; Bacillati; Actinomycetota; Acidimicrobiia.
GCGACUCAAACUCAAGUGGCAGAGCACCGGACCCUUAAUCCGCAGGUUCCGGGUUCGAGUCCCAGGGGGCGCACCA